UACAGAGGUCUCAAGCGUUGUUCGGAUUCAUUGGGCGUAAAGGGUGUGUAGGUGGCGCCGUUAGUCGGGUGUGAAAUUUCGGAGCUUAACUCCGAAACUGCAUUCGAUACUGCGGUGCUUGAGGACUGGAGAGGAGACUGGAAUUCAUGGUGUAGCAGUGAAAUGCGUAGAGAUCAUGAGGAAGACCAGUGGCGAAGGCGGGUCUCUGGACAGUUCCUGACACUGAGACACGGAAGGCCAGGGGAGCAAACGGG
Molecule: ribosomal RNA, 254 nt
Filed under: uncultured bacterium
Lineage: Bacteria
Description: partial 16S ribosomal RNA
Rfam family: Bacterial small subunit ribosomal RNA
Source: RNAcentral